GCGCAUUCCUCUUUCUCCCCACGCCAAGAACCUCAGCCCCCCAGCUCUAAACCCGCCGGCGACCCCCCUUGCCGCCAUCCACCGCGCCCGUACGGCGGACGCCUUCUUCCUCCUCAACCAUGUAGGUAAAGGCUUAUCCUCCCGAACCCCAGCCAGACCUCCACCGGAGACCCUCCAGGCCGGCGGCCGGCGAACGGCGAAAUUAUUGGCUACUGGUACUCGGGAGCGCCUUUUCGGCAACAUCGGCGGCGACGAGCAUUUCCACCGACCGUAGGUGAGGCUGCCUUGCCGUCCCCGGUAAGAAAAAGAUCCCCUUUUCGCACCGAAAUCAGUCCCAGAUCCCGUCAACAGUAAACCCCAGCCGCCGCCGCCUCCUGCACCGGCACCGGCACCGGCGACGUCGGCGUCGGCGUCGGCUUCUUCCUAGUCAACAAGCAAAAGCAUUCCGUUUCCAUGGCCGCUGAUUUGGAAUGGAAAGCUGCCGAGAUCGUUGCCGUGCUUGGCUGGCUGCUCUCCCCCGUCAUCACCUUGCUCCUGCCCAAGGUCCUUGCCUGCCUCGGCUUCGACGCCUCGCAGAAGCUCCGGGAGCUGGAGAUCCACAUCAUCCCGGAGCUGAAGAAGACGGUGAGGGCCGUGGAUCAGGAGAGGAUGAUGCAGAGAGGGAAUAGAGUGAAAACCGAUUUGGACGCCCUGGACAAGAUGGCUGCCAUGCUGAGGCAUGCUCUUGAGGAUGCCGAAGACAUCUUCGACGAUUCCCAUGAGAAGAUUGUCGUCAGGUGCUGGCACCGGCUCCGCCGCGCUUUCGCCGUCUGCAUUGCUCUCUGCAAAAGCAGCUGCGUGUGGAUUGCAGGCGUCGUCCGGACAAAAUCAGCUCGGCUGCUGCAGUGGGCACGGGAAAGCUCCUUGUCUUUGUUCCUCCUACCCAGGUCAGAGGAGCCCAUUCCGGCGAAUAACAGUGCUGCAAUCACAAACAAGCCCAUUCCAGUGAUUAUUGAUAUUCCAGCCUCUGAUGUUGAGCCUGAUCCGGUGACUAGCAAUGCUGAGGCCUCUGGCAAUGAGAUCGUUCCGGUGACUGCUGGUGCUGCGGCCUCCAACGAGCCUAAUCAGGUGCCUAGCAGUUCUGAGGCCUCGAACAACGAGCCUGAUCCAGUGGCAACCAGUGUCGAGGCCUCCGAUGACAAGCCCGAUCCGGUGACUACAACCUCAGAUUCCUCAGGGCGGUGGCUCUCUUGCUUGUGCACCUCGUUUGACUUCUUCAAGAACUGUUGUGCAUCACUAUACAGCUGGUUAGCUCAUGUGUUUGAGGCUGCCUGCUUUUACAGAGACUGGUCAUACCAAGUGGUUGGCAUAAAAAAAUGUCAGGAGAAUGCCUCCUUAUUUGAUAUGUUAGAUGUAUUCUUUACUGCUAUGUCAAGAUUGAAAUUGAAGAAAAGGAUACAGCAGGUGGAAAACACCGUCAGUGAAGUGAACAAGUCACCACUCUUGGGUGUGGCAGGCAACAGCACACCAAAAGAUAUUGCCAACAAAAACAGGAGAGAACUUGGAGCUGCUAGCAAGCGGGAGGUAUUUGGUCGAGAGGCGUUGCGUGAUGAUAUCAUGGGAAGGCUGCGUGAGAUACCACAGGGUGAUGCACCAAGCUAUAGUCCAUGUUACUCUGUGAUUGGCAUCUAUGGCGUUGCAGGGUCUGGGAAGACUACCUUUGCAGGAUAUAUUCGAGAUUACAUAAAGGAGGAAUGCAAGGAGGAGAAACUUUUUGACACCAUCAUGUGUAUUCAUGUGUCGGAGACUUUCAGUGUGGAGGAUAUAUUUCAAGAAAUGCUGAAGGAUAUUAGCAAAGAUAGUCUCCCCAGUAUUUCAGAUCAUAGGGGACUAAACAAAAAGUUGAAGGAAGCAUUGCGUGGCAAACGUUUCUUGUUGAUAUUGGAUGAUCUCUGGGUGAAAAACAAGAAUGACCAACAACUGGAGGAACUAAUCUCUCCACUCAAUGUUGGGCUGAAAGGAAGCAAAAUCCUGGUGACGGCUCGAACAAAAGAAGCAGCUGGAGCUCUGUGUGCCGAUAAACUUAUUGAAAUGCCUGAUUUGGAUGAGGAUCAGUACUUGGCGAUGUUUAUGCAUUAUGCGCUAAGUGGUACAAGAGUUGCCCUUAAAGAAUUUGAACAAGUUGGGAGAGAUAUUGCCAAGAAACUACACGGGUCACCUAUUGCAGCAGUAACAGUUGCAGGACGGCUUGGGGCAAACCCAAAUAUCAGUUUUUGGAAAAAUGUUGCAAAGCUUGACAUGUUGAAUGACACCAUGGAUGCUCUUUGGUGGAGCUAUAAGCAGCUUAAUCCAGACAUAAGGCGAUGCUUUGAAUUCUGCAAUAUUUUCCCCAGAAGAUUCAAACUGGAAAAAGACCAAUUAGUCCACCUGUGGAUAGCACAAGGGUUUGUAAAGACUAGCUGUGCAAUAGAGGAGAUGGAAGAUGUAGCCGAGGGCUACAUUCAAGAAUUAGUGUCAUGCUCAUUUCUGCAACCAAAAGGAACUGAUUCAUUUGUAAUUCAUGAUCUGCUGCAUGAUUUAAUUGACAAAAUCGUCGGAAGUGGUUGCUUUAGAAUCAACAACGAAAGGAGCCAGAGAGGAGGCUGGAAAGGAGAUGUCCCUCGAGAUGUCCGACAUCUUUUUGUUCAGAAUUAUGAUGUAGAAUUGAUUACCGAGAAGAUCGUUCGAUUGGAAUAUUUACGCACUCUCAUCAUUGAUGUUGUUGAAGAGGAGACACCAGUUGAGGAAAAAGUCAUUGAAAGUAUAUGCAAGAGGCUGCCGAAAUUGCGGGUACUAGCCAUUGCUUUUAGCAAGAAACAUUGUGCAAUAAAAAAAACCAAGAAGUUCUCGGUCCCAAAGUCUAUUGCUCAGUUAAAGCACCUGCAUUAUCUUGCUUUCAGGACAAACUUGUCAUGCUCUGUAAUUUUACCAAGCGCACUAACUAAACUUCACCAUAUCCAGCGGCUAGAUUUUGCUGGUGGAGAAAUUUCGGAAUUCCCCUCUGCUGGCCUUAUGAACUUGCAGCACAUGAUUUGCGGAGUAAUGAAAAUCCCUAACUUGGGCAGGCUGAUCUCAUUGCAAACGCUACGAAGCUUCACAAUAUGGAAUAAAGAGGGUUAUGAGAUAAGGCAGCUGAGGGACCUAAACAAGCUUCGUGGAAGCCUGUGGAUCCAUGGCCUUGAAAAUGUCAAAAGCAAGGAGGAAGCUCUUCAAGCCAAUCUAGCUGCCAAGGAACGGCUCACAGAUCUGACGUUCAACUGGCGUGAUGAUACAAGGUGCAGCCCAGAAGUUGAAGCAGAUGUACUUGAGGGCCUGUGCCCUCCCGUGGGGCUUCAAAGACUUGAAAUAUAUGGAUACAGAGGUUCAAGGUAUCCAGAUUGGAUGGUGGGUAAGCAGAGCGGUGGCCCAGAGGGCCUGCGAAAUCUUUAUUUGAUAGCAUGCAGCCAACUGGGAACUGGUCCUGCAUUUGAGGCUUUCCCUCAUCUUCGUGUGCUCCGGAUUAGGGCCUGCAGCUGGGACUCCUUAACAGGCAACAUGGAGCGCCUCACGUUGCUCAAGAAACUGUAUAUCAUUGCUUGCAAGAAUAUCCGGUCGCUUCCAACACUGCCCCAGUCUAUUGAGGAAUUUUAUCUUUAUCACUGCAACGAUGAGUUGAUGAAGUCGUGUAGAACAGUGGGACAUCCAAACUGGCAAAAGAUUGAGCACAUCCCCAGGAAAUUUUAUCUAUAUUUUUGCAACGGUGAGCUUAUUUUUGUUAAUCCAUUUGCCGCUGUCUGACGUUUCAGAGAGCCAGUGAAGGGCGCCUGAUGGUCUUGAAUCAAUCAGGAGAGGCUUUAGGCAUCACAAGACGGCAAAGGACAUUUGAAUAGGCGUCGCUGUUAGCAGCAACCUCUCAUGCUGCCGAAGUCUCUGGACUAAAGCAGAGUCUGGAGCGGCCCGAGGAAGAACUCAGCCGUAUGAGGAAGGAGCUAGAGGGCCAGCAAGGGGCAGGGACUAAGGUCGAGGCCCUGAAGAAGGAGUUGGCCGAAGCCCAAGAAAAGGCGGCCGAGGAGCAAGCUGCCCGUGAGAAGCACGAGGCCCGGGUUUUGGAGGUCUAAAAGGAGCUCCAAGAUGCUGCUGAUAAGUGUGAGGCAUUGAAAGGCAAGAAUGCGGACCAAGAGGCCGAGCUCGCCAAGGUGCGUCAAAGCGGACAAGAUGCACGGCGCGAAGCCCAGGGAGCCCUCCAGGCGAUCCAAGAGGCGAAGAAGAUCGCGACGGGAGUAUUUGCGGAUCUGCCGCGCAGCGUUUCUGAUGCCGCGGAGUUCUUCCGAGCCGAAGAGGGGGGCUCAACGGAGAAGGUGUUCUGGUCGCAGUAUCUGGCGCCAGAGCAUCCGGUGCCCCUGACCGAUCAGCUGAAACAGCCGGUCGAACUGCAUGGGGCGGCCGAACGAGCCAUGAAGGAUUUAAGAAUCCGACUGUGGCCUGCCGAAGCAAUCCCGAGUGUCGCUUGAGUUGCUAAGUACUCCCUCCGUUUCUUUUUACUCCGCAUAUAAGAUUUGGUCAAAGUCAAACUACACAAAGUUUGACCAAAUUUAUAUAAAAAUUAUGAACAUCUACAAUACUAAAACUAUAUAAUAUGAAAAUACGUUUCAUGGUGCAUC
Non-coding RNA from Aegilops tauschii subsp. strangulata, 4658 nucleotides. The record is from RefSeq and is a predicted model, not a curated record. NCBI's taxonomy places the organism in Eukaryota, Viridiplantae, Streptophyta, Magnoliopsida, Poales, Poaceae.